GCCUAGAUUACAGAGUGAGUAAAAAAUAAAGAUGUUGUCGUCUUGUGUUUGUGAUGAGUUUUCUUGGUUGUUUCAUUGAAAUGUCAUAGAUGUCGAUUUGUGUUUGUUUUGGUUAGUUUUAACUAGUUAUAAUUUCGUGAGUGUAGUGUAAGAAUAUGUGCACUUUAAAUUUAAUUAGGACGAGUUAUAUAAUGGAUCAAAUAUAAAAAAUGUGAAUCAAUCAUGAAGACAGUUCCUUCUGAACAAGAUUACCAUGACACAGAAAUUCAAGACGAUUCUAUUCAAGAGGCAAACAUAACUGUCCUUAAAGAUGGAUUAAAGGUUGUUGGGAAUCCUUGUCAGGAACACUUACCGAGAAGUAACAGUGGCAGUGACAUUCAAAAUACGUGUGAAACAGAGAACCUUAUUAUUUGUAACCCUGAUCUAGCUGCAAGUUUUCAAACAUUUAAGACAGAAAAACACAAAUUAAACCCUGGGCACUAUCUUCAAAAAGUGUUUUUGAGUAGUGUUGCUCAAAAGUUCAAAAGUCAAAGCUUACCUAGUUGUCUCGAAAAAAAGAAAUUCCAAAAGAAUUUAUAUUCUGAGGCUAUUGAUGAAUUAAAUGAGACAUCAGUUCCUUUAGUUGAAACAUCUGACAAUACUAGUUUUGGUAAUCGUGAUAGUAAAGAAUCAUUUUCGGGUGAUUGGUUUAAAACUUGGCCAGAAAGAGGGGAUAAAGUUUUAAUUCGAAAGGGAGAAUCAUACUCCGAUGAAAAAGUACAAACUAAUAUAAUAUGUGAUGAAUUUAGUGUUUCGGAAAUAUUAGUGAAAGAUAAUGAACUCAAAGGAAGUUCAUUUAACACACAAUCAAAAAGAUCUGUGGAUGGUUGCAAUUCUGAGACUGAUGAUACAUUCUUUGACAUCUCAAAAGAAUCUCAUUCAUGUAAAGAAAAUCUGUUUAAUGGUAGUUUAGAAAGAAGGCCUAUUAAAGAAUCUAAUAAAGCAAAGACAACACAUUCUGCAAAAUUUGAAGGAAGUUCCAAAUCAAUCCCCCUUGACAGACUGUUGGACAACUUUCCAUUAGCUUACAGUCCUAUUACUAAACAAUUACUCCUUAUAAAACCUGAUAAUGAAAGUAUUGUGAAUAUUUGUGGUGAAGAAAUCUACAGACCUGAUUCUCUGAAUGCAAUUACAAGGCGUAAUGCUGAAGAAAAAUUGAACCUGGAGGAGUCUUACAACGAUAAAACGGGUGGUGGGAAGGGACGGACAAGUAACCCUCGAGGUCUUGAUUGUGAUUUAGCUAGUUCUAAUUUUCAGCGCACAAGUGCGGAGAUAGGCUCAUUUUCAAGUACUGUGUCUAGUUUAAGUGAUAAUUCUCCUUCAACAAAUGAAGAUUCUGCUCUUGGAAGUCUAUUAGAUCAUGGUGAUACUUGUUCUCUUGUGUCUGUUGGUGGUUGUAGUGCCUUUUCAGAAGAUUCCAUAGAGGCCAAGACCAAAAAGAAAAGUCUAGCUGGAUUUUUCAGCAGAAAUGUGUUCAACUGGAAGUCGGGAUCGAGAUCGGAGGAUAGCAUCACUCGUAGUGUCGCCAGUUGGAAACUGUUCGGCAAGAGUUCGUCUCCGCAGUCCUCACACACCUCCCUCACAGUCGACCACUAUGCUGAUUCUGAUGGCGGGAGCCUGGCACCGGACUCGCCGUGUAGUGUUCGCUCCAGCAGCUCUGGCCCGAGGACAUUCUCUCACGAGAACAGGGUUGCCAGCAGUUCAGCCCUCAUACAGUUGGACAGGCCUGCCAACCUGCCAGCGAAGAGUGAGGAGGAGGAGGCUCGCCAUCGCCUCGAGUACCAACAGAUGGUGGAGGCUGCUCGCAAGAAAGAGCUGAAGGAGGCAAAACAACGGAAGAAACAGCUCCAGCAACAGUUGAGGGCUGAGGAACAGUUAGCCCAGGCUACAAGAGUGUGGACUCAGGAGAUCCUGCCUAGAUGGGACCAGAUGCACACUGGUAAGAAAGCAAGGGAGCUGUGGUGGCAGGGAGUGCCGUCGUGUGUCAGAGGCAGGGUUUGGCAACUAGCAAUUGGCAACCCUCUCAACCUCACUCACUCUCUGUACGACAUCUGUGUUCAAAGGGCUCAAGACAGACUGCGUAGCGGCGGUGGUUGUGACGAUGAGGAUUCUGACAACAAGGAGGCCAGUAUGCAGCAGAUCCAGUUAGACAUCAGCCGUACCUUUCCCCAUCUCUGCAUUUUUCAGAGGGGAGGGCCUUACUAUGACAUGCUACACUGUUUACUCGCUGCAUACGUCUGCUACCGGCCGGAUGUAGGCUACGUGCAGGGCAUGUCCUUCAUAGCUGCCGUCCUAAUCUUGAAUAUGGAGGCUGCUGAUGCCUUUGUGUGUUUCGCCAACUUGCUCAAUAAACCCUGUCACAUGGCUUUCUUCCACCUCAACCAGCCUCUGAUGGAGGCAUACUAUUCAACGUACAACGAAUUGCUGAGGGAGAAUCUGCCACAAGUCUAUGCCCAUUUCUCUCUCACAGCGCUCAGUCCAGAUCUGUAUCUGCUGGACUGGAUAUACACAGUGUUCACCAAGGCAAUGAGCCUGGAUCUGGCUUCCAGGGUGUGGGACGUAUUCCUGAGGGACGGUGAUGAAUUCCUCUUUAGGACAGCUCUCGGCGUCCUCCACCUAUGUCAAGACACUCUCCUCCAGAUGGAUUUUGUUCAUGGUUCCCAAUUUUUGACAAGGCUGCCAGAUGACCUCUCUGGGGAUCAGCUGUUCAAAAGCAUCUCCUGUAUCAAGAUGGCUGUUGGGAAGCAAUCUUUUCAAGACAUUCUUGCUGCCAAUUCCAUUGAUUGCCAUUGAACUUUCUUUUAUCUGUGUUUGUGUCUUUCCUUAUACUUAAGAGACAUAAUGAUUUUAAAUAUUGUAUGGAGUCACAAUAAUUGUUUGCUUUUACAGAAGUAAAAACAAUACAUCACGCAAUCUAAUUUUACAUUGAUGUGAAGUACAAUAAAACAUCAGUAAUCUCAUAAUUUUACAUAUUUAUGUAGUUAAUAAAAAAUGUCCUAUAUUAUAAGAAUUUAUUCAUUAUUUAUUUUUGCGUAUAGUUUAUUUUAAAAGUAUAAUUCAUUAACUUUGAUUUUAUGACUGCUUCAAUGUUGGUGAUAGUUACAUCUAAAAAACAUAUGAUUACAAUGUACUGUUGAGUUAAUAUUUUGUAAAGAUUUUAAAGACCAAUCUCAUUUUAUCAAUCUUCUAUAUUAUCUAUGAGAGGUAUUUAACUUAUUUUAUAUUGAAGCUUGAAAUAAAAAUAUGUUGAAGAACCAAUAAUGCAUUAACAGAAAUGUUUGAAAAAUUGUGCUUUUGAUUUAAAAAGUACAAUAAGUGUUAGUGAAUCAAAUAUAAAUAGCAUAUCAUUAAAAAUAUAUUAAAUUAGAGAAAUAACAUAUGAAGUAAGAUGUCUGUUUAUGUAAUUGAAAUUUUGAAUUCACAAAUGUUGACUACAUAAACAAUAAAAUAAAUUAAGUGUUGUUUAUAAUACAUAGUUAAUUACAUAAUUUCAUCAUUGCUUUUAUUAUUUCAUUACUAGAAAACUAUUGUGCAAUCAGAACAGAAUAUAGUAAAAUCAUAAAUGUGAGUUAUUGGUAUCUUACAUCACUAUCCAAAAUAUAGAUUCAAGGUUAAUUUUAAAGAGAACAACCUAGCAGUAACUAAAUCCAUAAAGUAAUCUAAUACAUGUUGUGUUCUCUCCUAUACAUAGGUAAAAUUCAAAAAUAUGUGUAAAAUUAACACCUGAAAACAGAUUGUAUAUAUCUAGUAAUAAGAAAAUUUAAAAUUGAAAUAUAACGAAGUGUUAUAUAUUUUUUUUUACUAAUUGCGGUUUGCAUGAAAAAUGAAAGUUAUGAGUUGAGGAUCAUGUUGUUAGGUUGUUCUGUUAUAUGAGGAGUGCCGUCCGUGUAGUCUGUGUCAAUAUGUGAUAUGUUCUCUCCAAGCUUAGCUCAUUAUGCUUAAAGAGAUGUAGAUUUGUAUUCAUUUAAGUCUCCAAGACAGUUAUAAACACUUUUAUAAAUGUUUAAAUCGUGAACUAUAUUAUGAAAGAUGUAAGUUGGUGUGUGUUUUGUAUAUAUUUAUAACAUGAUUUUAGAAGUUUCAUAUUAGUGCAAUUCUUCACAUGACAAUUAUUUAUUAUUGGCAAAAAUUUGCUUAUUGUUGUAUUAUGUAUAUAUUUAUUUUUCAUUGCUAGUCUUGGUAAGAGGUAAUUGUAUAAAUUUUUAACUUUUUAACUACAAAAUAAUCAGUUUGAAUAGGUUUGUUUUUGAUUUUACAAAUACAAAAAAUAUAAUAAAAAUAGUAAUAAACUGAGAAAUUGAAGUAAAGGCAACAAACAUCACUAUUAUUCAAUAUAUAAUAAAAGUUGAUGUACGUGAAGUACAUAUGGGUGUUGAGAAUCUCUUGCUUUAUUUUAAUAUGUGCUGAAAAGAUUUAGAACAUUUUGUCCUAUACUCUGUCCGUAUUUUAUUUGAAACUUUGAACACAAUUGUUGUACUUAACCUUUUCCACUUGGCUUUCUACAAUUUCGUUAUCUGCAGGAUUUCUGAUUUUUGGGUGUUCCCAUGUAUUCUUACUGUAUUUGUAUUUUCAUGCAAUCUGUUGACAUUUUAAAACCAAUCACUCACUAUUUUAUGUGGUGUAGGGAAAGAAAUCAAAAUAUGUAUGGUAUAGGAGCCCAGAAUCAGUUUGCAUUGUAUAACCAUACAGUCUGAAUAUAUUUAAUUCAACAAGAGAAUUUCCUCUAAUAAACAAUCAAUUAUCAGCAAGAGUAUUUUAGGUGGAGGCCAUAAUGUGAAGGUAAAAAAGCUUAAAGAUAUCAAACAUUUUUUGUCCUAAUUUUCUAAACAUACUGAAAACUGACAGUCAGGCAUGUAAAUGAAAGUCAAAUAAACAUCAACUAACCAUAAACACACUGAUAUUUGGUAGAAAGUUAUGACUUUCAGUCCCUUUAUAUAGUUAUCUUACAGUGAUAUAACAAUAGGCAGUCUACUCAGAUAAAUAAGAUCUUAAAAAAAUUAUAGUUUGAUAUUUUUAACCCCUUUAAUGCCUUUCAGUUUCAAACUCCAUAAAAAUCAGCAGACAUAAAAGAUAGUCUUUUGGAUUUGGAUUUCUUUCUGUAUAUGUUUGGGUUUCUUUUCAAAAGAAAUUUCUGUAUUAAUAUCCUGAAAAACCAGAUUUUGCGAUUAUACAAUGCUAAUUGGCUUUCAGCUCCAGGACUAUUAGUUAGUUGUUGCCUUUUAUUACUGUGAACUCAGCUGUCUUCUAAUAACACCUGUCAGUUAAUAAGCAACAAAUUUACUGUACUUAACCCUUUGAGUGCUGUGGCAUUGGCAUAUCAGACGCAGUAAAAACCUUGUUUAUUGCCGGCGUCAGUUAGCACGACAAUCCAUAUUUAGAUGAUUUCUCCUAACACAGUUGAAAUAUCCGAGUAACCACAUAAUUAUCUGCAUUGAUAUAUUUCAAUGUAUUGAUUAAUGGGUGUUUUUUAUUCCUGUUAGUCUCAUGUCUAUUUUAUGUUGUUAUGGUCUGUCAGCUGAUGAAUUUGUCAGGUGAGAAUUACACAUUUGGCUAGUAGCACUGUUUACUUCAUUUUGCAAUUGUUUUAUGUAAAAGCAAAACAUAAAUCAAUGCACAAUUUACAUUAAUUAUUAGUGUAAUAAUAUCAAUAUUUAUAUUUGGAUGUUUCUAUAGCAGCGAGCUAUUGUUUGUUUUAUUGUUUCCAGUAUACCUGCUGAGUGCAUACAAUUUUGACAAUCUAUUGUUGACCUUAGCUUAUUAUGGAAAAAGUAUAAUAUUAUACAUGAAUUUUAUUUAUAAUUUCUCCACAUGGUAUAGCUACAUAAAUCUAAAAAAAAAAUAAUACAAAUAGACAAUUUUGAGUGAAACUCAAAAGUUUGUUGUAAAGGUAAAAAAUGUUUGUAUUUUGUAUAUUAUUUUUGCCACAAGACAUAGGUAUCAUAUUCUUCAUGUAUUGCAAAAAAGGGGGGGGUUAACAUAGCGGAUUGGCUAUACCACUCAAAGGGUUAAUACCAUAUUUCAAUAAUUUAACAUUAAUAGUUUGUUUAGUAAUAUUAGCUUAAAGAAAAAUUUGGGUUUGAUAUUUAAAAUAAUUGCAAAUAGUUUCUUUUAAGUUUAAAUUAUAAAUAUGUAAAUUUCUAAUUAAAUAUGCUUCAAACAACAACGAAAUGUUAAAAGGUACAAUAUAUAUAUAUGCAGUAUAUUGUCAAUAUUAAUUAUGUGAGUCUAAAGAGAUAAUCAAUAUUAACCUCUUAAAAGAGGACCAAUGUAUUUUGUAGUAAAUAAGGGCAGUGUGCAGUUUUGGCCAAGGUGGAGCACCACAUGUAUUAUAGGUGAGCUGGUGACCGCACAGUCUAAAAUGCUGGGUUUGGAUCUGAUUUCGAGUUGAGCACAACUCUGAAUCUUGUUUUUAUGCUCUUGUUGUUAUCAUAGCACUUUUAGUUAGUUCUGUACUGACUCUUCUUUAUUCUGUUUCAUAAGAUCCUCACACAAGUCAGUAGCCUAUCAGGAUGGGUUGUGUAAAGCAAAAAGACUUCAAUCUGUCUUAAAAAAAUACAUGUAUAUAUACACAAAAUUUGGUUAAAAGAUUAAGGUGGUACAAGUUGGUUUUUGAAAAUAUAUUUUUAAAUUUGAGAGUCACAGCCCGUAGAAAAUUUCCUGAAGACAGGAAAUAUGGAAAAAAUGUAUUGUAUUACUCCAUGUAGACUUAUAAGACAUUUAAAGUAUAAAUUUUGGGCAAUGUUUUUAAACAAACUGCCAUAUUUUUAAUAGAAUUUUUUAAAAUUACAUCUUUUUAAAUAAAGUAUUACUUAAAAAAAUUAAUUCUUUAUAAUUAAAGACACGUCAUUCCCUUCAAUUAUCUUUCACAUACUAUAAAAAAAAUCAUAUCCUUAUCUCCAGCCAUUUUUCUUUGUGCCUGAUCAUAACAUGUCUCUAAAUACUAUUUUAAUCCUAAAUUUUCUUGUUAAACAAUAUAAAUUUUGGUCUAGUUUUUUUAUCGUCCUGGCAGGUAUUUUACAAAAGAAAUUUAAAAUAACGAUUAAAAAAACUACUCAAUUAAAUACAAAUUUUACCACAUUAAUGCUGACUUACCUUAUUUCUUUACAGGUUUGAUAUUUAAGUAACACUUAGGAAAUGUUUUCUUAUGGUUUUCAAAAUGUGCUUUAUUAUGGUGCUCUGAGUAAUAAAGUCAUUAUAUCAAGAUUGUGUUAGUGUUAUUUAUUCACAAGAUAUAGGAGAUAUAGUAUUGCUGAUUAAUUGAAUGAUUGUACUGCUAAAUAUUUGCUAUUCAGAUUACAAAACAUUUUAUUUUCAGUAAGAAACUUAAGACCAAAUGCUAUCUGAAAUAUCACAAAAGUUACUUUCCAAAAAAUGUAAUACAAGAUUUAGUUUAUUAAUAUUGAUUAUAAAAAAUUUGUUAAUGAUUUUAUCUUUGAAACGCCACAUCAUUAUUUUUGCUGUAUACAAACACUUUUUUUAAUCACGGCUAUAAAAUAGAAAGUUGAAAAGUUGCUACCUAAUAUAACGCCAAACCAGACUGGCUAAUGGCGUGGUCUAGAGAGUAGAGUAGUAAUCACAAGAUAACAGAGUCAAGCAAUGUCAAGUAUGGUUGUUUCUUGAAUGAGUGAUGACUGAGUGAUCCUGUUUUUGCAAGCAGCCUUCCUUCUACCCGACCAUCUGCGGUAGUUCGGAAAUCACCUUUAAGCUGUUGAUGCUCAGAUUCAGUUGUUGUUCAUUUAAGACAAGAAGCUGAGGAAACCUCUUAUUGCCCGUAGUCCUAAAAAGAAUCUCUGAUUUUGCUUUCAAAAAGAGAAAGAAUAUUCUGGAUGUGUAAGUUUGGGGAUCUCCUGUCAAUAUCGUAGGUUAUAUGUACCAUAAGGAUAACAGACACUAUAUCUAAAUCAUGUUACCUUGUGAGAAGGAAAGGCUAGCUUUGUUUCAGCCUCUUCAAGUCAAAGCAGUAAGGGGACAAUACUCUCUCAUGUUUAGGCUUCCAAUAAUUUUCAACAUUAGGUAGCUCCAGUCACUCCAACAGCCAUUCUCUGCAGUAAACUAGACCUAUCAAUCGACUCUUUUACUCAGAUAUCUCAACAUUUGCAGUUAGUGAUGUGCUGCUCUUUAACAUCCAUGGGGUUUUUUUUCAAAUGUAAGUGACAAAACGGUUUAUGCUUUAUUUACUGAAGGGUAAAAUAAUGUAUAAACCAGUCAGAUGAGUCCUCUUGGAGUGGUUCAUUUAAUAUUAGAGUGGUUUUUUUUAGUCCAAACGUCACCUAGUAACUGGGUUUUAUUGCUUUGUAGUCCAAAAUGGGAAGAUACUAUUCAUCAGAAUAGACAAAAAUAUAAUAAUUGAUUCGAUUCAAAUCAUUCUCAUCUGUAGCCUACGUGAUUUUGUUCAUUUUCCAAUAAUUUAGAUUAUGAUCUCACCCACUCUAAAUAGAUAUAAGAAGUAACCCAUUACAAAAUAUUUUAUAUUUGAAUUACUAAAGUAAAGUAAGUGUUUUUAUGAUUUACCGUUUUAUUUCUUAGAAUUUAGUAUAUUUUAGUUUACAAAAUGUGUACUAAAACAAACAAAAAUAAUUUUAAAAGUAUCAAAUGUAACACUAAGUAUGAUGUUCACUUUGAAAACAGGUUGUUAGUUGCAUAAUGUUUUGAUUGUAUUAGUUACACAGGAAAUAAUCAUUCAUACAGAUAUGAUGUGUUGAGAUUUGGGUAUUAUUUCAGUUAGUUUUGAGUUCCAACAAUAGGACUGCACCAUUUGACUUUCAUUAUUACCGUUCAAUCAUUUGCUACUUGACCUCUAACUCCAAAGAUGGCAGUCCGAGCACUCAAUUUUGCAAUGUUUUCAAUUUAUAGCAUUGCAUGAAUUAUCUCUGUGUGACUAAUACAAUAAAAGAUAAUACUUUGUUUCAGUACGAUUAUAUACAUAUCUUAUGCAUGUAGUAAAAUGUUAGCAUUCUAUUUUUUAGAAAUUUAUGUACUACUGUAAAUUUAUAUACAUGGUUGGUUGUAUUUGUACAAACCUUCUUUGAUUAAUGCAGUUGCUUUAAAUUUUGAUUGGUGCUUUAACCUUGCUUGAAAUAAUAUAUUUACUUCUCUUUAUACUCUAACCCCGGUACUUGCUGCAGUUGAUAUUUUUACAACACAGGGCACUGAAUACAGUUUUACAGUACAGAUAAGCACCUUUGAAAAGAUACAGAUUUGUACUUUCAAAGUCUUGUUAAUAAUUAAUUAUUCAUUUACACGCUAUUUCUGUUCGUUCAAUGUAUUUGUUUUUCUCUGCCGAUCCUAUCUGAUUUAUUCAGAAAGUUAUCACUGGAAAGAAGUUGACAUUUAAUUUUAUCUACUUUGAAUUAGUUGUAAAAUUAGAAUACUGAGGUUUUUGUUUCAUUUAUAGGCUGUGUUGGACAGGUGGUUAGUAUAGCUAAUCUGGUUUCACAUUCUUCGUGAAAUCUCAAUAACACCAUACAAUACUUUUUAACACAUUAACGGCUGUGCCGAGGCAACCCACAAGACAACCAUGGUCGUUAUGACAGCUUUUCGCGUGGAGUUAGCCGACAGCAUCACUAUGCAGCUGGUAGCCAUUUUCUUUUGAUUCCCGUUUGUGCUGCACUCUGACAGAACUCGAUAAAAUGAUUUGAACUAGAAAGAGUUGGACAUUUCGCAGGAUGUUGUCUUUUGUUGUAAAGUGUUUCUCCAACUGAGAUUGAAAGAUUUAUCAAUUAUUGACGCAAUUUGUCAGGCCACUUUACCCAACAGGUUGUUGCUAACAUAUAAACUGGGUUAUGUCGUUUGGUAAUACAAAAAAUAACUCUGUCUUAUAUUUUCAUUCAGUUUAUCACAAAUUUUAUUUUGCUUCAUUUUAUAAAAUUAACAAACAUUACUUGUGAAUGUCUCUGAAACUUUUCUGACACAAAAAUGGUUUUUGUGGGCAUUCACUACUUAAUGUAGUCACACCUUAUAAGAUGAUAUGUGUGUUAUAUAUCUUGCCAUAUUAUGUCCUAUUUCUGCAGACAUUCUUUUAUAGCAAAUUUUGAACAAUUUUGUUGUUUAGCGUUUUCUAGCUCUUUCCCCAACAAAAGGAGAUGACAUCAUUUAAUGGGGAUCAGUUGCUGUUAUUCUCAGAGUAUGUGGUUCUUUAUGCACGCCUUUCAAUGAACAGACCAAUUUUUCUUUGAACUGAGUAAUAUUGUAUGACACUAUACUUAUCUUGAUGAUAACGUAUUAAAGAUAUUUUUUAUUUGAUUUGAUUGAGACCACAUGUUUCUUUUCCUGAGCAUUAGGAUUUGUCUUAGAGUUCAGGAAACUAUUGUAAGCCAACCAACUGUUAAACACUGAAGUCCCAAGCGGAAGUUCCUCUCCUACUUUGUGUAACCAUAGCAUUGUCUUUUGUACUGUAGUGCUGUAGAAUGACAUUUGAUCCGAAAGAUCAGUCCCAACUUUUGCCUUAUUGUAGUCAACGAAAAUAUUUUGGUCCACUGGUAUUUUUAGGGUCAAGCACGGCAUAUUCAGACCUAUGUAUGUAUAGAGCAGGUGUACUUCGCUCUUAUCUUUCUAUUUAAUAACCACUAUGCCUGAUUGUUUUCUGAGCACACCAUUUCAACCUUAAAAAGUUUUUGUUUUAAGAAGUGUUUUGACAAAAAUCUUUGUGGUUCUUUCUCAAAGUACCAGCGAGAUGUGUUUGAUAUGACAUCAGAUUGGCAAGUUCAACAUAGGUGUGAUAAUUGUCAACAUAUAGGUUAUGACCUUUAUUCAAACUGUUUGUCAUAAGCUCAUUUACUACUUUGGCAGACAGAAAUACAAUGUGAUUUUUCUGUAAAAUGGCAGUAAAACACUUCCGAGAAUGACUAACAACUUUACAUGUAAAUAUUCGUGAUGGGCUGAAUUACACAAUGCUUUAUAUAUAUGAUACUAAUAAACAAAUCAUCAAAUUGUAGUUAUUAGUGCCCAGUAUAGAGAAAAAAAGCCAAAGUUACAAGAAUCGAAAUUAAAAAUAUUUGGUACUUUACCACUAAAAUGUUAUGUAAGUAGUCGCCAGUUAGCGUGUUAAACUAGACAAAGUUUGUUAUCUUUUGUAUAUAUCUCACAUUCCCAAAUUUAAAUUAUAGUGUCUAUUUCCUAAGUAUGUACAAUUUAUUUUCACAAUUCAUAACUUUAGCUCAUGUAAAAAUAUACACAAUAUAUUUUAAUAUUCUCUAGGUUUUGCUGAACAACAUGACAUCUAUAUAAAUAAAAAUAUAAUGCUGUUUGUAAGCACUUCACUUGAGAAAUGCUGGACUGAUUUGGUUAUUGUUUUGUUUUAAACUGUUUAGUAAAAUAAACCAAAUUAGGUUUUAUGGAAAGAUAACUUUUAAAAGUUGGAAAAAUGUAUGUGUUUUAGAGUUCCCGCAUGAACUAAACAUUCCAAGUGAUUUGAGAGGUAGUAGUGGAUUGUAAAAAGCAAUGAUAAUAGUGUUUGCUAACUUUUACUAUAAACGGUGCCAGUGAUGUAUUUAAUUGAUUUGGUGUAUUCUGACUAUUAUUUUAAAACUACCAUUGGAAUUCUGCAAUUAACCAGGUCUAUUCUAUUCUUCUUAGACUUUUAUUUUUCCCCUUGUAUUAUUUUAACAUGUAUAAUUCAAGGUGUGGAAGAAGCAUUCCUUGAUAAUCCGAAUUGUCCCUUCUGCAGAACAAUUACUUGAAUAAUACAAGUUUUAAAAAGGAAACUACCAAGAAAUAUAAUGUGAGGUAGAUAGUGUAUUUUUAUGCUGAAUCAUCCAUCCCUCACCUUGCUUGCACAUUUGUUUAUUUUCCCAUUUUAGUUUGUAAAUGCAACGAGGCUCAUUUUAUUAUUCCCAUAUAAAAUAUGUAUUUAUUCUCAGUGACUGUAAUUUUGUUUUGUUUUAGUGAAUGAAAAGCAUUGUGCCAUUUCCACAAUGUUUUUGAGAAUCCCUUUGUGUACAAGAUUCUCACAUGGCAAAACUUGUACAUAAGGAAAAAGUUAUUGUAGAUCCAACUAUGGUUGGUUUUAGAAAAUGCUAGGUUGUAAACGUUCGGCAUACCAUCUUUGCCACUUCGCUCUCUCAAUGAUUGUGAAAAAAAGAUAAGGAAAACAUUUUAUAAUCAUUAUUGAAGAAAAUUAAAUGCCUUGUUGAAGUUAAUGUUUUUUAUCAGUUAAUUGUAGUCUACUAAAUUUCACUUUGUCUAACAAUCAAGAAAUAUUUAAAAAUUUAACAUAAUGUAAACAGUGCAGUUAUUUACUAAUGAUAAAAUGUACACCAAUAAUCAGUUAUAUAGAUCGAUGUAAUCCACUUAUUUCACUUGUACAUUUUUGACACAACUAUCGAUAAAGUUUGAAGACAUAGUAUCACACGAAUUCAAACAUUAACAUUUGAUAACACUCAAAUUUGUAUAGUUACCCAUGAUAUUAGCUUUAUUAAGUGGUAACUGAAUUGUGCUUCAAAAUGUAUGCAAAUAUAAAGCAAUGUUUGUGCUACAAUACUAUCUCAGUACAUAUUCAAUUUGACCUGAGCUACAGUUUCUAGCUUGUAACAAAGAAAUAUUACCACAGUUUCUGAAUGCUAAGUAAAUGAGCUUAAGUGAGCAAGCAGCUUCUACAUAGGCGUUGGUUGAACUGUCACUGAAUACCAGGAUAAUCUGAUUAACUAUAAACUGAAAGAAUAGGAAGUAUGUGAUAAAUAUGUAAAUGCAGUAGGUUUCUGAAGAGAGUUGAGCUCCAGCAGAACGAAAUUAUUUAAAUAUGAUCAGUGGGAUCAAGUUUUAAAAGAGAGUAGCAACUGAAUGGUGUGGUUAAAACAAAUAAACAUAUUUUAAAAUUCACUCUAUUCUAUAGUACAAAAAAAAUUAUCAAAUUGUGUAAAAAAAAUGAAAGGUCUAUUGUUGGGAAUUCACUAUGUAUUUAUUUGCUACUGUUAUACAUGCCUUGAACCUUAUUGAAAUUAGUGAAGCUGAUUGAUUAUUGGUACAAAUGAUCCUUCCAACCCAAAUAUUCAAUUAGACAUUUAUAUUGUUAAUAUGUAAUACAGUAAAUAAUAUUUCAACACCUUUUUACUCUUAACAGGCUUAUAAUUUAUAUCAAUUUGAUCACUUGAUGUGUCAAUUAUAUAAAUCCAUCAGCAAGAUACUCAUUAAAUUUGUUAUUUUUAUAGUAUACAUAAUGUAUUUUGUAUAAAUUUUGUGUAUAAGAUUUAGAUGUAGCUUUAAAUAUAUUUUAUUUUGUGUUUGUAAAGUUAUAAUAUUGUUGAUUUAAAGCCAUUUUACUUUUAAAGAUCAAAACAGUUUUAUUUGUUACUGCAAACUUAGAAUAUAAUAUUGUUAUCAUUUGUUAGUUUAUUAUUAUCAUGUAUAUUAUGCCACCUGAAUUGUUUGCCCACAAAAUCAUAUUUAUAAGUGAUGAUUUUAGAAAUAAACAGAUUAAUAUUUA
This 13459-nucleotide unclassified non-coding RNA is filed under the name Homalodisca vitripennis (glassy-winged sharpshooter). Its description in RNAcentral is "tBC1 domain family member 14-like, transcript variant X1". The record is from RNAcentral. Lineage: Eukaryota; Metazoa; Arthropoda; Insecta; Hemiptera; Cicadellidae.